This 274-nucleotide ribosomal RNA is filed under the name uncultured bacterium. RNAcentral's name for it is "partial 16S ribosomal RNA". It matches the Rfam family "Bacterial small subunit ribosomal RNA", at positions 524 to 796 of the family's 1533-position model. The record is from RNAcentral.
UACGGGGGGAGCAAGCGUUGUUCGGAUUUACUGGGCGUAAAGGGCGCGUAGGCGGCCACCGCAAGUCGACUGUGAAAUCUCCGGGCUUAACCCGGAACGGUCAGCCGAUACUGCGGGGCUAGAGUGCAGAAGGGGCAACUGGAAUUCUCGGUGUAGCGGUGAAAUGCGUAGAUAUCGAGAGGAACACCUGCGGCGAAGGCGGGUUGCUGGGCUGACACGGACGCUGAGGCGCGAAAGCUAGGGGAGCGAACGGGAGGAGAUACCCCCGUAGUCC